AGUGAACGCUGGCGGUAGGCCUAACACAUGCAAGUCGAACGGCAGCACAGUAAGAGCUUGCUCUUACGGGUGGCGAGUGGCGGACGGGUGAGGAAUACAUCGGAAUCUACUUUUUCGCGGGGGAUAACGUAGGGAAACUUACGCUAAUACCGCAUACGACCUACGGGUGAAAGCAGGGGAUCUUCGGACCUUGCGCGAUUGAAUGAGCCGAUGUCGGAUUAGCUAGUUGGCGGGGUAAAGGCCCACCAAGGCGACGAUCCGUAGCUGGUCUGAGAGGAUGAUCGGCCACACUGGAACUGAGACACGGUCCAGACUCCUACGGGAGGCAGCAGUGGGGAAUAUUGGACAAUGGGCGCAAGCCUGAUCCAGCCAUACCGCGUGGGUGAAGAAGGCCUUCGGGUUGUAAAGCCCUUUUGUUGGGAAAGAAAAGCAGCAGGUUAAUACCCCGCUGUUCUGACGGUACCCAAAGAAUAAGCACCGGCUAACUUCGUG
RNAcentral lists this ribosomal RNA (492 nucleotides) under uncultured bacterium. RNAcentral describes it as "partial 16S ribosomal RNA". It matches the Rfam family "Bacterial small subunit ribosomal RNA", at positions 29 to 507 of the family's 1533-position model. The record is from RNAcentral.